GUGCUUGCUUCGGCAACACAUAUACUAAAAUUGGAAUGAUACAGAGAAGAUUAGUGUGGCUCCUGCGCAAGUAUGAUACAUAAAUUUGUGAAGCGUUCCACAUAAAA
Molecule: small nuclear RNA, 107 nt
Organism: Cricetulus griseus (Chinese hamster)
Lineage: Eukaryota; Metazoa; Chordata; Mammalia; Rodentia; Cricetidae
Source: Ensembl